GACAGAGGGGGCAAGCGUUGCUCGGAAUUACUGGGCGUAAAGGGCGCGUAGGCGGGAUGGCAAGUCGGUCGUGAAAUCCCUCGGCUCAACCGAGGAACGUCGAUCGAUACUGCUGUUCUUGAGGAUUGCAGAGGAGACUGGAAUUCCCGGUGUAGCGGCGAAAUGUGUAGAGAUCGGGAGGAACACCGGUGGCGAAGGCGGGUCUCUGGGCAAUUCCUGACGCUGAGGCGCGAAAGCGUGGGGAGCAAACGGG
This 253-nucleotide ribosomal RNA is filed under the name uncultured bacterium. RNAcentral describes it as "partial 16S ribosomal RNA". It matches the Rfam family "Bacterial small subunit ribosomal RNA", at positions 524 to 776 of the family's 1533-position model. The record is from RNAcentral.